This 76-nucleotide transfer RNA is filed under the name Hyphomicrobiales bacterium. Its description in RNAcentral is "Rhizobiales bacterium tRNA-Thr". It matches the Rfam family "tRNA". From Rfam's summary of the family: Transfer RNA (tRNA) molecules are approximately 80 nucleotides in length. Their secondary structure includes four short double-helical elements and three loops (D, anti-codon, and T loops). The record is from RNAcentral. Lineage: Bacteria; Pseudomonadati; Pseudomonadota; Alphaproteobacteria; Hyphomicrobiales. RNAcentral also lists the same sequence under 7 other names.
GCCGCAAUAGCUCAGUCGGUAGAGCACAUCAUUCGUAAUGAUGGGGUCGGGGGUUCGAAUCCCUCUUGCGGCACCA